AAAUUGAAGAGUUUGAUCAUGGCUCAGAUUGAACGCUGGCGGCAGGCCUAACACAUGCAAGUCGAGCGGUAGCACAGGAGAGCUUGCUCUCUGGGUGACGAGCGGCGGACGGGUGAGUAAUGUCUGGGAAACUGCCUGAUGGAGGGGGAUAACUACUGGAAACGGUAGCUAAUACCGCAUAACGUCUACGGACCAAAGUGGGGGACCUUCGGGCCUCACGCCAUCAGAUGUGCCCAGAUGGGAUUAGCUAGUAGGUGGGGUAAUGGCUCACCUAGGCGACGAUCCCUAGCUGGUCUGAGAGGAUGACCAGCCACACUGGAACUGAGACACGGUCCAGACUCCUACGGGAGGCAGCAGUGGGGAAUAUUGCACAAUGGGCGCAAGCCUGAUGCAGCCAUGCCGCGUGUGUGAAGAAGGCCUUAGGGUUGUAAAGCACUUUCAGCGAGGAGGAAGGGUAGUGUGUUAAUAGCACAUUGCAUUGACGUUACUCGCAGAAGAAGCACCGGCUAACUCCGUGCCAGCAGCCGCGGUAAUACGGAGGGUGCAAGCGUUAAUCGGAAUUACUGGGCGUAAAGCGCACGCAGGCGGUUUGUUAAGUCAGAUGUGAAAUCCCCGCGCUUAACGUGGGAACUGCAUUUGAAACUGGCAAGCUAGAGUCUUGUAGAGGGGGGUAGAAUUCCAGGUGUAGCGGUGAAAUGCGUAGAGAUCUGGAGGAAUACCGGUGGCGAAGGCGGCCCCUGGACAAAGACUGACGCUCAGGUGCGAAAGCGUGGGGAGCAAACAGGAUUAGAUACCCUGGUAGUCCACGCUGUAAACGAUGUCGAUUUGGAGGUUGUGCCCUUGAGGCGUGGCUUCCGGAGCUAACGCGUUAAAUCGACCGCCUGGGGAGUACGGCCGCAAGGUUAAAACUCAAAUGAAUUGACGGGGGCCCGCACAAGCGGUGGAGCAUGUGGUUUAAUUCGAUGCAACGCGAAGAACCUUACCUACUCUUGACAUCCAGAGAAUUCGCUAGAGAUAGCUUAGUGCCUUCGGGAACUCUGAGACAGGUGCUGCAUGGCUGUCGUCAGCUCGUGUUGUGAAAUGUUGGGUUAAGUCCCGCAACGAGCGCAACCCUUAUCCUUUGUUGCCAGCGAUUCGGUCGGGAACUCAAAGGAGACUGCCGGUGAUAAACCGGAGGAAGGUGGGGAUGACGUCAAGUCAUCAUGGCCCUUACGAGUAGGGCUACACACGUGCUACAAUGGCGUAUACAAAGAGAAGCGAACUCGCGAGAGCAAGCGGACCUCAUAAAGUACGUCGUAGUCCGGAUUGGAGUCUGCAACUCGACUCCAUGAAGUCGGAAUCGCUAGUAAUCGUAGAUCAGAAUGCUACGGUGAAUACGUUCCCGGGCCUUGUACACACCGCCCGUCACACCAUGGGAGUGGGUUGCAAAAGAAGUAGGUAGCUUAACCUUCGGGAGGGCGCUUACCACUUUGUGAUUCAUGACUGGGGUGAAGUCGUAACAAGGUAACCGUAGGGGAACCUGCGGUUGGAUCACCUCCUUA
This 1541-nucleotide ribosomal RNA is filed under the name Serratia plymuthica. RNAcentral describes it as "bacterial SSU rRNA". It matches the Rfam family "Bacterial small subunit ribosomal RNA". The record is from RNAcentral. Lineage: Bacteria; Pseudomonadati; Pseudomonadota; Gammaproteobacteria; Enterobacterales; Yersiniaceae.